UCCUCUUUGACACCUUCCACAGGUUUUAUAUUCUGUUGCAUUUGCCUCCCACCAACUGAAUGGAAUGUUACAACCGUUUAAACACCCUUUCAGUGAGUAAUAUAAGGAAGUAUCACAACAUAUCAUCUUCUGUCUCUCAUGUACUCCUCCUCCACAUGUAGCAUUACAAGAACCCCACGGAGCCCAUUGUUCAACUACACAAUAACUGUGCGCGUUUUGAUCACAUGCAUA
This 231-nucleotide long non-coding RNA is filed under the name Mytilus galloprovincialis (Mediterranean mussel). The record is from RNAcentral. Lineage: Eukaryota; Metazoa; Mollusca; Bivalvia; Mytilida; Mytilidae.